GACGAACGCUGGCGGCGUGCCUAAUACAUGCGAGUUGAGCGCUGAAGGUUGGUACUUGUACCAACUGGAUGAGCAGCGAACGGGUGAGUAACGCGUGGGGAAUCUGCCUUUGAGCGGGGGACAACAUUUGGAAACGAAUGCUAAUACCGCAUAAAAACUUUAAACACAAGUUUUAAGUUUGAAAGAUGCAAUUGCAUCACUCAAAGAUGAUCCCGCGUUGUAUUAGCUAGUUGGUGAGGUAAAGGCUCACCAAGGCGAUGAUACAUAGCCGACCUGAGAGGGUGACCGGCCACAUUGGGACUGAGACACGGCCCAAACUCCUACGGGAGGCAGCAGUAGGGAAUCUUCGGCAAUGGACGAAAGUCUGACCGAGCAACGCCGCGUGAGUGAAGAAGGUUUUCGGAUCGUAAAACUCUGUUGGUAGAGAAGAACGUUGGUGAGAGUGGAAAGCUCAUCAAGUGACGGUAACUACCCAGAAAGGGACGGCUAACUACGUG
This 497-nucleotide ribosomal RNA is filed under the name uncultured bacterium. Its description in RNAcentral is "partial 16S ribosomal RNA". It matches the Rfam family "Bacterial small subunit ribosomal RNA", at positions 28 to 507 of the family's 1533-position model. The record is from RNAcentral.